This 433-nucleotide ribosomal RNA is filed under the name uncultured bacterium. RNAcentral describes it as "partial 16S ribosomal RNA". It matches the Rfam family "Bacterial small subunit ribosomal RNA", at positions 29 to 507 of the family's 1533-position model. The record is from RNAcentral.
AACGAACGCUGGCGGCAGGCCUAACACAUGCAAGUCGAGCGCGCCCUUCGGGGUGAGCGGCGGACGGGUGAGUAACGCGUGGGAACGUGCCCUUUUCUACGGAAUAGCCUCGGGAAACUGAGAGUAAUACCGUAUACGCCCUUUGGGGGAAAGAUUUAUCGGAAAAGGAUCGGCCCGCGUUGGAUUAGGUAGUUGGUGGGGUAAUGGCCUACCAAGCCGACGAUCCAUAGCUGGUUUGAGAGGAUGAUCAGCCACACUGGGACUGAGGCACGGCCCAGACUCCUACGGGAAGCAGCAGUGGGGAAUCUUAGACAAUGGGGGCAACCCUGAUCUAGCCAUGCCGCGUGAGUGAUGAAGGCCUUAGGGUUGUAAAGCUCUUUCAGCUGGGAAGAUAAUGACGGUACCAGCAGAAGAAGCCCCGGCUAACUCCGUG